UAAAAAAAGGGAUUCAUGAAAUAAUUUUUGAAAUUAUGAUGACUUCAUUUGUUAAUUGUGUAUGAGUUAAUCUCACAUGGAAUUUCAGCAUCCUACUAUUAGAUACAUAGUCAAAGAAUGUAGUACAGUAGACUGAAAUCAUAUACCCACAUAUAUAUAUAAUAAUAGAUAUGCCCCCAAUAGAUUAAAUGAAAGGUGCAGGAAGCCCCAUGAUGUCCGAGUUUGUCCAAAAUGUAUUUACAACUAGUAUUACAAUAGGAAAAAUUAUGUAGUGGAGGUCAGAUAAAUUUGACAAUUUAGUUAUUCAUCAUGUAUUUAAUAUUCUAUUAUUUAGUUUAGUUGUGGUGGUCAUGUUUAUUUCUUGAAAACAUAUGUCAAUGGUAAAAUAAUUUAUUCAUGACUAUAGGUGUAUAUAGUAGAAAUGCAUCAUGAAGAUUUUGAUUCAAUGUUAUUGUUUUUUAUCUUUGCAUGUACUAGCUCUUUGGAUGAAAAUGGAAUAGGCAAUUAAGGAGUUUAUCAAUACAUAUACCGAUAUAAAACUACAGAAGCACUACAUAUCCCCGCAUGUAAAAAUCUAGCUAUACUACUUAUUAGUUAAAUCUAGUCACACUUAAAAAUUCACGGUAAUGUCUUAUCCCCAAUAGUAUAAAUUAAAUGCACAAUCCAUAUUUCCUGUGGUUGCAACUUGUCUAUCAAAUGAUCUGUAGAUGAUAUAAAUGCCACAUAUAGUUCUGUAGAUGACUAGUAUUCAGUACAAGUACACUCAUACAAUUAUGUCACCACUCAGGACCUGUACCACCCAUCACAUGCACUAGAAACCUUUUUACAUGUAUAAGGCUUCAUUUGUCCCUUUAUGUAUACGAGAUAGACGGCUUCAUUUGUACCUUUAUACGAGCUACUUAUUACCUUAUUUCAUCUGGCAUAUAUGCUGGGCAUUCCAUCUUACUUUAUAUAUGCUGAUGCCGUGUUGCCGUUAUUGAUUCAUAUUUCAGAUGCUAGGUGAUCAAGAGCUAUAUGUGUAAGAUAGAGGGCAUGCAUCAUUGUACAAGAUUAAUAAAGCUUGUCUUAUACUAAAAAAAA
RNAcentral lists this long non-coding RNA (1080 nucleotides) under Setaria viridis. RNAcentral's name for it is "long non-coding RNA (SVIR_LNC008610)". The record is from RNAcentral. Lineage: Eukaryota; Viridiplantae; Streptophyta; Magnoliopsida; Poales; Poaceae.